Anguilla rostrata (American eel) is the source of this 117-nucleotide small nucleolar RNA. RefSeq annotates it as small nucleolar RNA SNORA26. The record is from RefSeq and is a predicted model, not a curated record. Lineage: Eukaryota; Metazoa; Chordata; Actinopteri; Anguilliformes; Anguillidae. The transcript has a single exon.
AUACCCAUUUAAGACUGCUGUGCUUUAAAUGGCUAACACAGGGGGGCAGAGUACCUCUCGCUAAAACCUGGGGUGCAGGAUUAACCCUGCCUUCGGAUCCUGUCGUGAGAAACAUGU